This is a ribosomal RNA of 401 nucleotides. It matches the Rfam family "Bacterial small subunit ribosomal RNA", at positions 355 to 774 of the family's 1533-position model.
UGGGGGAUAUUGCACAAUGGGCGAAAGCCUGAUGCAGCGAUGCCGCGUGAGGGAAGACGGUCUUUGGAUUGUAAACCUCUGUCUUCGGGGACGAUAAUGACGGUACCCGAGGAGGAAGCCACGGCUAACUACGUGCCAGCAGCCGCGGUAAUACGUAGGUGGCGAGCGUUGUCCGGAAUUACUGGGUGUAAAGGGAGCGUAGGCGGGAAGAUAAGUCAAAUGUUAAAUCUAUCGGCUCAACCGGUAGCUGCGUUUGAAACUAUCUUUCUUGAGUGAAGUAGAGGUUGGCGGAAUUCCUAGUGUAGCGGUGAAAUGCGUAGAUAUUAGGAGGAACACCAGUGGCGAAGGCGGCCAACUGGGCUUUUACUGACGCUGAGGCUCGAAAGCGUGGGGAGCAAACA